GCCUAGGUGAUGGAAUUGGUAGACAUGCUAGACUCAAAAUCUGGUGGCUUCACGGCCGUGCGGGUUCAAGUCCCGCUCUAGGUA
This 84-nucleotide transfer RNA is filed under the name candidate division SR1 bacterium. RNAcentral describes it as "tRNA-Leu". It matches the Rfam family "tRNA". From Rfam's summary of the family: Transfer RNA (tRNA) molecules are approximately 80 nucleotides in length. RNAcentral also lists the same sequence under 1 other name. Lineage: Bacteria; Candidatus Absconditibacteriota. The record is from RNAcentral.